RNAcentral lists this ribosomal RNA (375 nucleotides) under uncultured organism. RNAcentral describes it as "partial 16S ribosomal RNA". It matches the Rfam family "Bacterial small subunit ribosomal RNA", at positions 527 to 896 of the family's 1533-position model. The record is from RNAcentral.
GUAGGUGGCAAGCGUUGUCCGGAAUUAUUGGGCGUAAAGCGCGCGCAGGGCGGUCCUUUAAGUCUGAUGUGAAAGCCCACGGCUCAACCGUGGAGGGUCAUUGGAAACUGGGGGGACUUGAGUACAGAAGAGGAAAGCGGAAUUCCAAGUGUAGCGGUGAAAUGCGUAGAGAUUUGGAGGAACACCAGUGGCGAAGGCGGCUUUCUGGUCUGUAACUGACGCUGAGGCGCGAAAGCGUGGGGAGCAAACAGGAUUAGAUACCCUGGUAGUCCACGCCGUAAACGAUGAGUGCUAAGUGUUAGGGGGGUUUCCGCCCCCUUAGUGCUGCAGCUAACGCAUUAAGCACUCCGCCUGGGGAGUACGGCCGCAAGGCUG